RNAcentral lists this unclassified non-coding RNA (113 nucleotides) under Drosophila erecta. Its description in RNAcentral is "GG21836". The record is from RNAcentral. Lineage: Eukaryota; Metazoa; Arthropoda; Insecta; Diptera; Drosophilidae.
CCAUGGUGGGGAAACAACUCAACCGAAGGUCCAUGGUGGGGAAACACCACUACUCAAGGCCCAUGGUGGGGAAACACUACUACUCAAGGUCCAUGGUGGGGAAACACCACUAC